UAACAAAGAAGUGAUCUGCACCCAUGGUUCUAUUCCAGUAUGGAUAUUUGGCUAUCAAACUAUCAACAUAGUUCUGUACAAUUAUGGUCAUGUUCUCAUAUGAUGUUCCCUUUCCUCUCAUCUUAUGACAAGAGAUCGGAAUGAAGAACAAGUGAGCCUCAUUUGGAUCCUCAGUAACAAACUUACUCUCUCGAAUAUUCUGGAAGAAAUAUCCUUCACUAGAAUACUUCCCAGUCAGCUUCCUUGGCGUUUGAUAAAACGUUUUCGGAUCUCCAUCUUUAUAUAUAUACACCUUAAAUUUCCUCUCCAUUUCUUCAUAAUUCAACCUAAACACUCCCGGCGAAUUAUACACAUCCGAUAACACCUCCUCCUCCUCCCUAACAACCUGAGAUGAUUGCACGAUGAGCGAAGGAGUUUCAGAAGAAGGAGAAUUAGGAGAGUGGAAGGAUUUGAGGGAAAGGUAUGUGAAGGAGAGUAAGGUUAAGAUGGCGAGAGAGAGGAGGGAGCUUUGGAGACUGCAGUAACUAGAUGCCGGUGGUUGUGAAAGUUUCGUCGACCACAUUGCCGACAGAGUGGCGGAUUCCGGCGGAAAUUUUUCGGUGAAGAGGAGAAGUUUGGGCUCGG
Molecule: unclassified non-coding RNA, 624 nt
Filed under: Hevea brasiliensis (rubber tree)
Lineage: Eukaryota; Viridiplantae; Streptophyta; Magnoliopsida; Malpighiales; Euphorbiaceae
Source: RNAcentral